RNAcentral lists this ribosomal RNA (420 nucleotides) under uncultured bacterium. Its description in RNAcentral is "bacterial SSU rRNA". It matches the Rfam family "Bacterial small subunit ribosomal RNA", at positions 355 to 776 of the family's 1533-position model. The record is from RNAcentral.
UGAGGAGUAUUGCGCAAUGGCCGAAAGGCUGACGCAGCGACGCCGCGUGAAGGAUGAAGUCCGUUAGGAUGUAAACUUCUUUUGCAGGGGAUGAAUGUGGCGCUUAGCGCCAUUGACCGUACCCUGCGAAUAAGGAUCGGCUAACUACGUGCCAGCAGCCGCGGUAAUACGUAGGAUCCGAGCGUUGUCCGGAAUUACUGGGUGUAAAGGGCGUGUAGGUGGGUCUCUAAGUCGGUGGUGAAAUCCUGCAGCUUAACUGCAGAACUGCCAUCGAUACUGGAGGUCUUGAGUACGGCAGAGGGAGAUGGAAUUCAUGGUGUAGCGGUGAAAUGUGUAGAUAUCAUGAAGAACACCGGUAGCGAAGGCGGUCUCCUGGUCCGUAACUGACACUGAGGCGCGAAAGCGUGGGGAGCAAACAGG